RNAcentral lists this ribosomal RNA (945 nucleotides) under Triticum aestivum (bread wheat). RNAcentral describes it as "partial small subunit ribosomal RNA". Lineage: Eukaryota; Viridiplantae; Streptophyta; Magnoliopsida; Poales; Poaceae. The record is from RNAcentral.
AUGAAGGAUUCUGCAACCUGGGCAGAUCCUUCUUUCGUGAGGAAGAAGAAGAUAGCCAGGGCGCAGUUGGUGGGCGGGGCAUGGUUUGGCGAGGAGGGUGCACGUGAUCCCGCGGCUAGCUGGCGGGCGGGGCAGUUCCUUUUUCGCUCCGAUGGGCGAGGACCAGGUGGACCAUUUGGGCGGGCGGCGGGCGGUUCCCUUUUUCGUUCGGGCGGGCGGGACCAGGUGGACCACGUGGGCGAGCGGGAGACUGUUUCCUCUUUCGCUCGAGGGGGGACCAGAAAACCCACGCACGCCCCGCACCACGAUCCCACGCCCCGCACCUCCUCCCAACGACGAGAGCAUGGUCGGGAUUCCGCCCGUCGAUCCUCCGCCUUCGCCCAUCCUUCGCCUACGCCGCUGUCCGCCGCCCGUCGAUCCUCCUCCGCUGCCGCCUCCCGCCGAUCCUCCACUCGGCUAUCGCGCGUAGAUCCUCCACUCCGCCAGCGCCCCCUCCCCCCUGACCCCGCCUCCGCCCGCCCCGCCCCGCCUCCUCAGAGGAGGCCGUCAAUGUGGGGAAGGUUCUCAUGGUCGGGGUUGGAGGCAUCAGGUGCGAGCUUCUCAAGACCCUCGCCCUCUCGGGCUUCAGUGACAUCCACAUCGGGCCACCUGCCAAUGUCACAAAGUGUGUCACUUGUGUCAAAGUUACAAACAAAGAUUGACUUGGACACUUGUGUUCAGCAAUCUGUACAGACAGUUUUUAUUUCGGAAGAGUCAUGUUGGACAGUCAAAAGCCCAUUUUUGAAUGGCCUUGAUAACUUGGAUGCUAGAAUACAUGUGAAUCGCCUCUGCCUUGUUGCUGAAGUUCUUUUGGUUGAAAGUGGGACCACUGGAUUUCUCGGACAGCUUCUGAACCCCAACCAGGCACCAAUUGAAUCCUUCCGUUGCAAGUUGAUGAGCCCUUAA